GGUCGUGCGGCGCAGGGCGAUCGCGAUUCUGGCCAUGGGCUUGAUGCUCCUUCAAGAAAAGUCAUAACAAGGUAGCCGUAGGGAUAGCCCGGGGAAACCCGGAUUAAUACCGCGUACGCCCUUCGGGGGAAAGCAGGGGAUCUUCGGACCUUGCGCUAUCAGAUGAGCCUAAGCCGGAUUAACUGGUUGGUGGGGUAAAGGCCCACCAAGGCGACGAUCCGUAGCUGGUCUGAGAGGAUGAUCAACCACAUCGGGACUGAGACACGGCCCGAACUCCUACGGGAGGCAGCAGUGGGGAAUAUUGGACAAUGGGGGCAACCCUGAUCCAUCCAUGCCUCGUGUGUGAAGAAGGCUUUCGGGUUGUAAAGCACUUUCUUUGAGGAGGAAGGCCUUAAGGUUAAUACCCUUGAGGAUUGACGUUACUCACACAAGAAACACCGGCUAACUCCGUGCCAGCCGCCGCGGUAAUACGGAGGGUGCAAGCGUUAAUCGGAAUUACUGGGCGUAAAGCGCGCGUACGUGGUUUGAUAAACGAGAUGUAAAAGCCCCGGGCUUAACCUGGGAACGAAAUUUCUAACUGACUGGCUAGAUUGAGGUAGAGGGAUGUGUAAUUACUUGUGUGCGCGUAGGUGGUUUGAUAAGCGAGAUGUGAAAGCCCCCGGGCUUAACCUGGGAACGGCAUUUCGAACUGUCAGGCUAGAGUGUGGUAGAGGGGUGUGGAAUUUCCUGUGUAGCGGUGAAAUGCGUAGAUAUAGGAAGGAACACCAGUGGCGAAGGCGGCACCCUGGACCAACACUGACACUGAGGUGCGAAAGCGUGGGGAGCAAACAGGAUUAGAUACCCUGGUAGUCCACGCCGUAAACGAUGUCAACUAGCCGUUGGGACUCUUGAAGUCUUAGUGGCGCAGCUAACGCACUAAGUUGACCGCCUGGGGAGUACGGCCGCAAGGUUAAAACUCAAAUGAAUUGACGGGGGCCCGCACAAGCGGUGGAGCAUGUGGUUUAAUUCGACGCAACGCGAAGAACCUUACCUGGCCUUGACAUGCUGAGAACUUUCCAGAGAUGGAUUGGUGCCUUCGGGAACUCAGACACAGGUGCUGCAUGGCCGUCGUCAGCUCGUGUCGUGAGAUGUUGGGUUAAGUCCCGUAACGAGCGCAACCCCUAUCCCUAGUUGCUAGCAGUUUGGCUGAGAACUCUAGGGAGACUGCCGGUGACAAACCGGAGGAAGGUGGGGAUGACGUCAGGUCAUCAUGGCCCUUACGGCCAGGGCUACACACGUGCUACAAUGGCGCGCACAGAGGGCUGCAAACCCGCGAGGGGGAGCCAAUCUCACAAAACGCGUCGUAGUCCGGAUCGCAGUCUGCAACUCGACUUCGUGAAGUCGGAAUCGCUAGUAAUCGUGAAUCAGAAUGUCACGGUGAAUAC
This 1424-nucleotide ribosomal RNA is filed under the name Marinobacter guineae. Its description in RNAcentral is "bacterial SSU rRNA". It matches the Rfam family "Bacterial small subunit ribosomal RNA", at positions 60 to 1369 of the family's 1533-position model. The record is from RNAcentral. Lineage: Bacteria; Pseudomonadati; Pseudomonadota; Gammaproteobacteria; Pseudomonadales; Marinobacteraceae.